Molecule: ribosomal RNA, 2543 nt
Filed under: Epizoanthus ramosus
Lineage: Eukaryota; Metazoa; Cnidaria; Anthozoa; Zoantharia; Epizoanthidae
Description: large subunit ribosomal RNA
Rfam family: Bacterial large subunit ribosomal RNA
Source: RNAcentral
GUCGAUUUGGUUAGAGAGAGUGACAAAUGGAGAACUAGGAUGCACUAAAGGGACGGAAACUCCGAAAGGGCGAAGGAGAAACUUUGAAAUCAAAUAUCCACGCGCGAACGCAGCGUAGGGGGUCGCUGGAAAGUGAAACAUCUCAGUACCAGAGCCCCCCCAAUAGCCCCCCCCCCUAUUUGGGGGGGGGCUAUUGGCACGAUAAAAAUCAAACGAGAUUCCGCAAGUAGCGGCGAGCGAAUGCGGAUUGGUCCUUUCCUGGCAGCCUUGGUUAUAACUUGGCUGCGCCCCCCGAUCCCCCCCCUCCCUCCUCAUGGAUAGGGGGGGGGGGGUAACCUUCGGGGGGGAAGCGAGUAGUAAUGGAAGAUAGGUGGCCACACAUCUAAGACUAAAUGUUUAGUGACAUACCGAAAGUGAGAGUACUGUAAAGGAAAGUUGAAAGAGACUUGAAAAAGAUCUUGAAAUGAGUCACUUAGAGCAGUUGUAAUACAACGUACCUUUUGUAUAAUGGGUCCACGAGAUAAAAUUUGGCAAACUUAAAGUGCAAUCCCGUAGAAAUCAUGCAUCCGAGGGCUACGCUAGUAACAAGAGGUGAAUUGAUUUCCUUGAGAUGAUUGAAGCACCCUUAAGGUGUAGUGAAAUCAAGGGGGGCCUUCCCCCCCCCUUCAGUCAAAUUACCCGAAACCAAGUGAUCUAGCCAUGGGCAGUUUUAAGGAACGAACCGGUGGUUGUAGCAAAAAUCUCGGACGACCUGUGGUUAGGGGCGAAACGCCAAUCGAACUUGGUGAUAGCUGGUUUUCUGCGAAAACUAUUGAAGUAGUGCGUCCACAAUGGAGAAUGUUUAUAAGGAGUAAAGCUCGAUCCCUCGAGGCCGAAGGAUUAACUAUGAACAAAAAUAAAAUCAUAGUGGACAGACAGACGGUGGGCGAUAAGGUCAACGGUCAAAAGGGGAAAGCCCUAAUCAGAAGUUAAAGUCAUUAAUAAAGAGGGGGGGCGCAAACCCCCCCCCCGAUUUUAGUGUAAAAGAGAUAUUGGAUUUAGACAAUGAAGAAGUGGGCUUGGAGCCAGCCACCUUUGAGAGAUGACGUAGCAGUUCACUCAAGAAAUUCUUUUAUCUCUAAAAUUGUGGUGGCUAAAGUUGAACUGAAACUCUGAGGGCGAAAAAAACUAUUUGCCUGGUAGCAGAACGUACUGUUUAUUUGUUCAGUGAAAGCCCCGGCAUCAGAAGUGAUAAUGUGGACAUGAGUAAAGAACCAUAGGAUCACCCCCCCCAGGUUUCCCAUAUUAAGUAUGGGGUUAAACAGCCCCUAAAAUAGCAACCCCCAGGUUGCAUUGAUGGGGGCAAUAGAUAAUAGACGCACAAAGUGCCGGGAAAGAAUUAUUAUAAAAUCGAAGAAGCCCCCCCCCCCUUUCGGGGGGGGGGGGCGUCUUUCGACGACACACUGUACUAAACUAACCAAAGUGGGGGAUAGUGAGAGGGAUAAAUUUUCUUAAGGAACUCGGCCAAACCCUAAUGCCCAUCAGGGUAGAUAUCAGAACAUGGGCCUCGACUGUUUACCAAAAACAUAGCUCUCAGCCAAUAUGAAAGUAGAAGUAUGGAGGGUGAGGCCUGCCCAAUGGUUGUAUCUAAAAACGGUUGAUAAAAGUUGACUUCAUAAGGACAAUUGAAUGGCCGCGGUAACACUGACCGUGAUAAUGUAGCGUAAUCAAUAGCCAAUUAAUUGUUGGCCAGUAUGAAUGGCGUCACGAAGGCCCCACUGUCUUAAGAGAAUUCCCAGUGAAAUUGAAUUCGUAGUGAAGAUGCUACGUCCAAUUUGUUAGACGAAAAGACCCCAUUGAGCUUUACUGGAGUCUUACAUUGCUCGGAUCAACUCUCGCCCCCCCCUUGGCGGGGGGGUCGAAUUUAAAUGGAUAGCUUAGAUUAUGUGGUGUCAUAACCGUCGAUCAAGUAGUCCUUACAGGAUUGCCCCCCCGAAGGUUGACCUAUUUGGGUGAAUGAAACCCCACUCUUCUUUGUUAAAUGAGCUAACCCUUUCUCCCUUAAAGGGGACAAUGUAAGUUGGACAGUUUGGUUGGGGCGACCGCCUUUUAAAGAGUAACGAAGGUGUGCUUAAGGUACAUUAUUAAUAACACAAGCCUGACUGCGAGGGGGACCCUCCGAGCAGACACCUAAAGUCUUCUCCCUUCCCCCCGAAGGUUAAAGACGAAUGGUGGGUUAUAGUGACCCGUUAAUUUAGAGUGGAAUAGUUAACGAUCAACGAAUAAAAGUUACCAUGGGGAUAACAGCGUAAUAUCGUUAGAGAGUUUACAUCGACGACGAUGUUUGCGACCUCGAUGUUGAAUUGCGGCAUCCUGGGGUGCAGCCGCUCCCAAGGGUUGGCCUGUUCGUCCAUUAAAGCCGUACAUGAUUUGAGUUAAAAGCGUGGUAACACAGCUUGGUUUCUAUCUACAAAUUGAAGAAACAUCGAUAUAACUAUCUUCUAGUACGAAAGGACCGAAGGAUUAGUGAUCCUCUUAUUUACUAUAAGUUACGAUCAACCCGU